RNAcentral lists this ribosomal RNA (506 nucleotides) under uncultured bacterium. Its description in RNAcentral is "partial 16S ribosomal RNA". It matches the Rfam family "Bacterial small subunit ribosomal RNA", at positions 29 to 523 of the family's 1533-position model. The record is from RNAcentral.
AGUGAACGCUGGCGGUAGGCCUAACACAUGCAAGUCGAACGGCAGCACAGGAGAGCUUGCUCUCUGGGUGGCGAGUGGCGGACGGGUGAGGAAUACAUCGGAAUCUACUUUUUCGUGGGGGAUAACGUAGGGAAACUUACGCUAAUACCGUAUACGACCUACGGGUGAAAGCAGGGGAUCUUCGGACCUUGCGCGAUUGAAUGAGCCGAUGUCGGAUUAGCUAGUUGGCGGGGUAAAGGCCCACCAAGGCUACGAUCCGUAGCUGGUCUGAGAGGAUGAUCAGCCACACUGGAACUGGGACACGGUCCAGACUCCUACGGGAGGCAGCAGUGGGGAAUAUUGGACAAUGGGCGCAAGCCUGAUCCAGCCAUACCGCGUGGGUGAAGAAGGCCUUCGGGUUGUAAAGCCCUUUUGUUGGGAAAGAAAUCCAGCUGGUUAAUACCCGGUUGGGAUGACGGUACCCAAAGAAUAAGCACCGGCUAACUUCGUGCCAGCCGCCGCAGUAA